UAUCAAAACCUACUGGAUCAGACCCGUAUUGUUCGGUUCCUUCUUGGAUUGAACAAGGAUCUUGGCGAUGUAAGGGGACGAAUCAUGGCAACAUAACCGCUUCCAGAUCUAAGGAAAGCCUUUGCCCAAAUAAGAUGUGAGUCCAGUCGUCGCAAGAUCAUGUUGCCUGAACAGCUCAAGCCUAUAAAUGACGGAUCAGCACUUGUAGCUCGUAAUGCUCCCAAGA
Molecule: long non-coding RNA, 226 nt
Filed under: Linum usitatissimum (flax)
Lineage: Eukaryota; Viridiplantae; Streptophyta; Magnoliopsida; Malpighiales; Linaceae
Description: long non-coding RNA (LUSI_LNC000296)
Source: RNAcentral